AUUGAACGCUGGCGGCAUGCCUUACACAUGCAAGUCGAACGGCAGCAUGGAGAGCUUGCUCUCUGAUGGCGAGUGGCGAACGGGUGAGUAAUGCAUCGGAACGUACCGUGUAAUGGGGGAUAACGUAGCGAAAGUUACGCUAAUACCGCAUACGACCUGAGGGUGAAAGCAGGGGAUCGCAAGACCUUUCGUUAUACGAGCGGCCGAUGUCAGAUUAGCUAGUUGGCGAGGUAAAGGCUCACCAAGGCGACGAUCUGUAGCGGGUCUGAGAGGAUGAUCCGCCACACUGGGACUGAGACACGGCCCAGACUCCUACGGGAGGCAGCAGUGGGGAAUUUUGGACAAUGGGGGCAACCCUGAUCCAGCCAUGCCGCGUGAGUGAAGAAGGCCUUCGGGUUGUAAAGCUCUUUCGGCCGGGAAGAAAUCGCACAGGCUAAUACUCUGUGUGGAUGACGGUACCGGCAUAAGAAGCACCGGCUAACUACGUGCCAGCAGCCGCCGUAA
This 504-nucleotide ribosomal RNA is filed under the name uncultured bacterium. RNAcentral's name for it is "partial 16S ribosomal RNA". It matches the Rfam family "Bacterial small subunit ribosomal RNA", at positions 30 to 523 of the family's 1533-position model. The record is from RNAcentral.